AUACUACCUAAUAAAUCUUGGAUUGAUUGGGGAGAGUGGGCUUGGAGUUUUAUAAGCUGUCAGCUGUGGUGUUAAGAUAGUUAAAUCGACCCAAUUCUAGAUCCGACCCACUUCUACCCCGGGUUCUCACAUACUCGCAUUCUGCUCCGGUAACUCGAAUAAACCUUGUGAUUGAUUGCAGGAGAGUUUGGCUCUACUCUCCGGAAUGGCGAAUCAGCAACCGCCAUCUCUACGGCCAUGGUUUCUCGAGGCAGUGCCAUUCAUCGUGCUUCUCCUAAUAGCAGCUCAUGUCCUCGCUUUGGUCUAUUGGAUAUACAGAUUAGCUACUGAGAAAGAGAAACAACCCCAGAGGAGAAAAGCACACUAAGCCACAGGUUUUGAUUUGCGAAAAAAAAAAAAAAAAAAUUGUUGAUUUCUUGUGGGAAGAAUGUUAAUUAAGUUUGAUUAUGAGCUAGUCGUCCUUUUUAUUUACUGCAGUUACUGGUUCGUGUACUAAUAGCUUAUGGAGUGCGACAAUUUACUUAAUUAAGAGAAUUAACAGACACAUUUGAGUGUUGUUAAUUUCUUGGGUUUUUUAUCUUCUACUCUUUUAAUAUUUCGAUUCAUAAUUUAUUUUCAAGUAA
Molecule: long non-coding RNA, 623 nt
Organism: Rosa chinensis
Lineage: Eukaryota; Viridiplantae; Streptophyta; Magnoliopsida; Rosales; Rosaceae
Exons: 2
Source: RefSeq, a predicted model, not a curated record